This is an RNA transcript of Sapajus apella (tufted capuchin), 1904 nucleotides long. It is a transcript of the gene named protein angel homolog 2 pseudogene, with no coding region annotated. The transcript has a single exon. The record is from RefSeq and is a predicted model, not a curated record. Lineage: Eukaryota; Metazoa; Chordata; Mammalia; Primates; Cebidae.
AGUGAUGGGAUGCCCUCGGCGCUUUAGGCCACCGCUUCGGUUAUAGAGAUUGAGGUGAAACCCCGGGCCUGGGAACCGGACGCAGGCAAAGGGGGAAGAUGGAAGCGUGGCGCUGUGUGAGGAAGAGCUACGGCCACUGUGUGGUGGGAAGAGGCCAAUACCCCAUGUUUUCCCUUCACUUGAGGAGUCUGGGCAGAGACUGGACUACACCGUGGGAGAAUCUGCAAAGGUGUUGCUGGAACAGACAUAUUUCUAGUUGUAUGAGGUGGCCUGGACAUUACUCUCAAGUUCCUUACCCAUACUUCAGUAGUAGGCAUUUUUCACUAAAUUGGAGACCACCCUGUUUGUUUGACUCUAGAACUCAGUUCCAGUACUGUAACUGGAGACCUGACAACCUGAGCCAGACAUCUUUGAUUCACCUCUCUAGUUACGUCAUGAAUGCUGAGGGAGAUGAGCCUUCAUCAAAACGAAGAAAACACCAAGGCGUGAUAAAGCGGAAUUGGGAAUAUAUGUGUAGCCAUGAUAAAGAAAAAACGAAGAUCCUAGGAGAUAAAAAUGUUGAUCCCAAAUGUGAAGACAGUGAGAACAAGUUUGCUUUUCAGUGAUGUCCUAUAAUAUACUUUCACAAGAUUUAUUGGAAGAUAACUCUCACCUUUAUAGACAUUGCCGGCGGCCAGUAUUACACUGGAGUUUUAGGUUUCCCAAUAUUCUGAAAGAAAUUAAACACUUUGAUGCAGACGUACUUUGUUUUCAAGAAGUUCAAGAAGAUCAUUAUGGAGCAGAGAUCAGGCCAAGUUUGGAAUCACUGGGUUAUCACUGUGAAUAUAAGAUGCAGACAGGAAGGAAACCUGAUGGCUGUGCUAUUUGCUUCAAACAUUCCAAAUUUUCACUCUUGUCAGUGAACCCAGUGGAAUUCUACCACCCUGAUAUUUCUCUGUUGGACAGAGACAAUGUUGGAUUAGUUUUACUCUUACAGCCCAAAAUUCCAUGUGCUGCCUCUCCUGCGAUCUGUGUAGCAAAUACGCAUCUACUGUAUAAUCCAAGGCGAGGUGAUAUUAAGCUGACCCAAUUGGCAAUGCUACUGGCAGAGAUUUCCAGUGUUGCCCACCAGAAAGAUGGCAGCUUCUGCCCUAUUGUUAUGUGUGGUGACUUUAAUUCUGUUCCUGGUUCUCCACUAUAUAGUUUCAUAAAGGAAGGAAAAUUGAAUUAUGAAGGACUUGCCAUAGGAUAGGUAUCUGGCCAGGAACAGUCUUCACGGGGACAAAGAAUUUUAUCUAUUCCAAUUUGGCCCCCAAACCUAGGUAUCUCACAGAACUGUGUGUAUGAGGUACAGCAGGUACCAAAAGUAGAAAAGACAGAUAGUGAUCUGACACAAACACAGCCAACGCAAACAGAGGUCCUAGUGACAGCUGAAAAAUUAUCUUCAAAUUUACAGCACCAUUUCAGCUUGUCAUCUGUUUAUUCACAUUACUUUCCUGACACUGGAAUUCCAGAAGUGACCACCUGUCAUUCCCAAAGUGCCAUAACUGUGGAUUAUAUUUUCUGCUCUGCAGAAAAGGAAGAUGUUGCUGGGCACCCAGAAGCUGAAGUUGCUUUGGUUGGUGGCUUGAAACUUCUAGCUAGACUGUCAUUUCUUACAGAACAAGACUUAUGGACUGUUAAUGGACUUCCAAAUGAAAAUAACUCUUCAGAUCAUCUGCCAUUGUUGGCAAAGUUCAGACUUGAGCUCUGACUCUGCUUUGAUCACAUACUAAUUUUCUUUCCAAUUUGUAUUGUUUUUCAAAGAAUGUAAAGUUCUGAAGUGUAUGCAUGUUGUUUAUUUUUGCACCGUGGAGUUUCUGAAGAGGUUAACGUUAGAUGCUCUGAAACUCCGUAUCAGAACAAACAACUUUAUAACCAUUUUU